AUCUUCUAUAUAUUGAACGAAAUAGGUAUAAUUACAGCGUCCUAUCCUAUAAUUGUCCAAUUCAAAACUUAAUACAUUAAUCAGUCCUUUUUUAUUCUAAGAACUACAUUUCUGGUGUACGGUGUCCUAAGCGCUUGACUCUUAUAACGUCUUCUUGAUCCAAUCCUAAUAUACGUCUUCAAAGGUGAUUGCUUGUUGGACAUUCCUCCUUCUUGGUUGUUGGAGAUUCCACCCUGUUCGUUGUUGGACAUUCCACCUGGGAAAACAAAACCACUGUUAGUGAAUGGUUCUGCAUGUCCCGCACUUUGUUCACCAUCAUCAUUACUUGUUCUUCUACCCUUCUCUUACGCCACCUCUGCCUCUAUGACAUUCACCCUCCUUUUAAGUUUUUCAAUAACAGAUUCCUGCUCCUCUAGAGUACGCAUCAAACUUUCACGGCAUUUUCUUUUUAGCAUUUUUUUUGUUGAUCGUUGCUCAUCCCUCCUUUUUGUUGUUGGUUGUUUUUCCUUCACAUCCUUGUUAUCAUUCAUUGAACAACCAAAAUCAUCAACAACAUGAACCUGAAAUUUAACAAUAUAUAACAUGUUAUAUAACUACAGUGAAUAUAUCAUAACAUUCACAAGUCAAAAAACACAACACAUACAACGUUUGACGAUGUUGUCUCCAACAUUUCUAUUCAUCCAAUGCAAGAUCCUUGGAGAUUUCUCUAUUGCACCUUCGACCGGAAUGAAAUGCUCACAAAACCAUACCUAAAAAACUUGUAAUUCUUAUAAAUUACUCAUAAUGAAAUAACAAAUAUUCAACAAUUUAUUUUUCAAAUAAAUAAAUAACAAAUACCUGCAACAUGUAAACACAACCAUCAACAUAAACAUUGGUUGUAGUUGUACCUUUCUUCACAGCAUCCAAAGCUUUGCUCAAACUUUCUAACAAAUAACGAUACACUAAGCUACCCCGAC
Molecule: long non-coding RNA, 956 nt
Filed under: Vigna radiata
Lineage: Eukaryota; Viridiplantae; Streptophyta; Magnoliopsida; Fabales; Fabaceae
Description: long non-coding RNA (VRAD_LNC003779)
Source: RNAcentral